Molecule: ribosomal RNA, 2904 nt
Filed under: Klebsiella pneumoniae subsp. pneumoniae Kp13
Lineage: Bacteria; Pseudomonadati; Pseudomonadota; Gammaproteobacteria; Enterobacterales; Enterobacteriaceae
Description: bacterial LSU rRNA
Rfam family: Bacterial large subunit ribosomal RNA
Source: RNAcentral
GGUUAAGCGACUAAGCGUACACGGUGGAUGCCCUGGCAGUCAGAGGCGAUGAAGGACGUGCUAAUCUGCGAAAAGCGUCGGUAAGGUGAUAUGAACCGUUACAGCCGGCGAUGUCCGAAUGGGGAAACCCAGUGCAAUUCGUUGCACUAUCGUUAACUGAAUACAUAGGUUAACGAGGCGAACCGGGGGAACUGAAACAUCUAAGUACCCCGAGGAAAAGAAAUCAACCGAGAUUCCCCCAGUAGCGGCGAGCGAACGGGGAGCAGCCCAGAGUCUGAAUCAGCUUGUGUGUUAGUGGAACGGUCUGGAAAGUCCGACGGUACAGGGUGAUAGUCCCGUACACCAAAAUGCACAGGCUGUGAACUCGAAGAGUAGGGCGGGACACGUGGUAUCCUGUCUGAAUAUGGGGGGACCAUCCUCCAAGGCUAAAUACUCCUGACUGACCGAUAGUGAACCAGUACCGUGAGGGAAAGGCGAAAAGAACCCCGGCGAGGGGAGUGAAAAAGAACCUGAAACCGUGUACGUACAAGCAGUGGGAGCACCUUCGGGUGUGACUGCGUACCUUUUGUAUAAUGGGUCAGCGACUUAUAUUCUGUAGCAAGGUUAACCGUAUAGGGGAGCCGCAGGGAAACCGAGUCUUAACUGGGCGUUAAGUUGCAGGGUAUAGACCCGAAACCCGGUGAUCUAGCCAUGGGCAGGUUGAAGGUUGGGUAACACUAACUGGAGGACCGAACCGACUAAUGUUGAAAAAUUAGCGGAUGACUUGUGGCUGGGGGUGAAAGGCCAAUCAAACCGGGAGAUAGCUGGUUCUCCCCGAAAGCUAUUUAGGUAGCGCCUCGUGAAUUCAUCUUCGGGGGUAGAGCACUGUUUCGGCUAGGGGGUCAUCCCGACUUACCAACCCGAUGCAAACUACGAAUACCGAAGAAUGUUAUCACGGGAGACACACGGCGGGUGCUAACGUCCGUCGUGAAGAGGGAAACAACCCAGACCGCCAGCUAAGGUCCCAAAGUCAUGGUUAAGUGGGAAACGAUGUGGGAAGGCACAGACAGCCAGGAUGUUGGCUUAGAAGCAGCCAUCAUUUAAAGAAAGCGUAAUAGCUCACUGGUCGAGUCGGCCUGCGCGGAAGAUGUAACGGGGCUAAACCAUGCACCGAAGCUGCGGCAGCGACACUAUGUGUUGUUGGGUAGGGGAGCGUUCUGUAAGCCUGCGAAGGUGUGCUGUGAGGCAUGCUGGAGGUAUCAGAAGUGCGAAUGCUGACAUAAGUAACGAUAAAGCGGGUGAAAAGCCCGCUCGCCGGAAGACCAAGGGUUCCUGUCCAACGUUAAUCGGGGCAGGGUGAGUCGACCCCUAAGGCGAGGCCGAAAGGCGUAGUCGAUGGGAAACAGGUUAAUAUUCCUGUACUUGGUGUUACUGCGAAGGGGGGACGGAGAAGGCUAUGUUAGCCGGGCGACGGUUGUCCCGGUUUAAGCAUGUAGGCUGAUUGUCCAGGCAAAUCCGGAUAAUCAAGGCUGAGGUGUGAUGACGAGGCACUACGGUGCUGAAGUAACAAAUGCCCUGCUUCCAGGAAAAGCCUCUAAGCAUCAGGUAACAUUAAAUCGUACCCCAAACCGACACAGGUGGUCAGGUAGAGAAUACCAAGGCGCUUGAGAGAACUCGGGUGAAGGAACUAGGCAAAAUGGUGCCGUAACUUCGGGAGAAGGCACGCUGGUGUGUAGGUGAAGUCCCUGCGGAUGGAGCUGAGACCAGUCGAAGAUACCAGCUGGCUGCAACUGUUUAUUAAAAACACAGCACUGUGCAAACACGAAAGUGGACGUAUACGGUGUGACGCCUGCCCGGUGCCGGAAGGUUAAUUGAUGGGGUUAUCCGUAAGGAGAAGCUCUUGAUCGAAGCCCCGGUAAACGGCGGCCGUAACUAUAACGGUCCUAAGGUAGCGAAAUUCCUUGUCGGGUAAGUUCCGACCUGCACGAAUGGCGUAAUGAUGGCCAGGCUGUCUCCACCCGAGACUCAGUGAAAUUGAACUCGCUGUGAAGAUGCAGUGUACCCGCGGCAAGACGGAAAGACCCCGUGAACCUUUACUAUAGCUUGACACUGAACAUUGAGCCUUGAUGUGUAGGAUAGGUGGGAGGCUUUGAAGCGUGGACGCCAGUCUGCGUGGAGCCAACCUUGAAAUACCACCCUUUAAUGUUUGAUGUUCUAACGUUGGCCCCUUACCGGGGUUGCGGACAGUGUCUGGUGGGUAGUUUGACUGGGGCGGUCUCCUCCCAAAGCGUAACGGAGGAGCACGAAGGUUAGCUAAUCCUGGUCGGACAUCAGGAGGUUAGUGCAAUGGCAUAAGCUAGCUUGACUGCGAGCGUGACGGCGCGAGCAGGUGCGAAAGCAGGUCAUAGUGAUCCGGUGGUUCUGAAUGGAAGGGCCAUCGCUCAACGGAUAAAAGGUACUCCGGGGAUAACAGGCUGAUACCGCCCAAGAGUUCAUAUCGACGGCGGUGUUUGGCACCUCGAUGUCGGCUCAUCACAUCCUGGGGCUGAAGUAGGUCCCAAGGGUAUGGCUGUUCGCCAUUUAAAGUGGUACGCGAGCUGGGUUUAGAACGUCGUGAGACAGUUCGGUCCCUAUCUGCCGUGGGCGCUGGAGAAUUGAGGGGGGCUGCUCCUAGUACGAGAGGACCGGAGUGGACGCAUCACUGGUGUUCGGGUUGUCAUGCCAAUGGCACUGCCCGGUAGCUAAAUGCGGAAGAGAUAAGUGCUGAAAGCAUCUAAGCACGAAACUUGCCCCGAGAUGAGUUCUCCCUGAGACUUUAAGUCUCCUGAAGGAACGUUGAAGACGACGACGUUGAUAGGCCGGGUGUGUAAGCGCAGCGAUGCGUUGAGCUAACCGGUACUAAUGAACCGUGAGGCUUAACCUUAC